Molecule: non-coding RNA, 131 nt
Organism: Nycticebus coucang (slow loris)
Lineage: Eukaryota; Metazoa; Chordata; Mammalia; Primates; Lorisidae
Source: RefSeq, a predicted model, not a curated record
GGCCUCCCUCCCUUGGGGUUAUGGGGGUUCUGUUUACUCCUCAGCCAAGGAGGAGUCCAAGAUCAGCCCUUGAGGAUCAUCAUCAGAACUGCCACAAGGUAGACAGCCUUGUUUUCCUGCCUAAGACAUUU